GAUGAACGCUGGCGGCGUGCCUAAUACAUGCAAGUCGAACGAACAGACGAGGAGCUUGCUCCUCUGACGUUAGCGGCGGACGGGUGAGUAACACGUGGAUAACCUACCUAUAAGACUGGGAUAACUUCGGGAAACCGGAGCUAAUACCGGAUAAUAUAUUGAACCGCAUGGUUCAAUAGUGAAAGACGGUUUUGCUGUCACUUAUAGAUGGAUCCGCGCCGCAUUAGCUAGUUGGUAAGGUAACGGCUUACCAAGGCAACGAUGCGUAGCCGACCUGAGAGGGUGAUCGGCCACACUGGAACUGAGACACGGUCCAGACUCCUACGGGAGGCAGCAGUAGGGAAUCUUCCGCAAUGGGCGAAAGCCUGACGGAGCAACGCCGCGUGAGUGAUGAAGGUCUUCGGGUCGUAAAACUCUGUUAUUAGGGAAGAACAAAUGUGUAAGUAACUAUGCACGUCUUGACGGUACCUAAUCAGAAAGCCACGGCUAACUACGUG
This 497-nucleotide ribosomal RNA is filed under the name uncultured bacterium. Its description in RNAcentral is "partial 16S ribosomal RNA". It matches the Rfam family "Bacterial small subunit ribosomal RNA", at positions 28 to 507 of the family's 1533-position model. The record is from RNAcentral.